GCUGAAUGUACCAGGAGUUUCUAUUGGUCGGUUUGACUUGUCUCUCGGUAUCUGCAUCAUCUAAACACAGACGGGAGGUUACGGUGACAUGGAGGUAAGUUGACUGCUGUUUUGUCAAAAUUAUUUUAAAUAUAGCAGCACUUCACUUUGUUCUCAUGUUGUUAGUGUCGUGGAGUCUCUUUUUAAGAACGACAUGGAGGGCUGCUGUGUUGACAUGUAGCCCCACUGUGGGCUAACGUUACAUGCCCCUGAGGCAUGACUAUGUUAGCUAAGGUUAGCUACACAUGUAUGACACAAUUUAAAACAAAUCCUAUGAGCUUGGUUCUCUGCGACCGAGGUAGGUACAGAUAACGACACUGUAGCUAAAAACGACAUGCGUCUUAUGACUACACUGGACAGACACCGAAGAAAACUUUUACUACUUCUGCCACCUCUGCUUGAAACGUCCCUUUAUUUGUUCAAACGCACCACCUUGUGGCGGAAGCUGUGCAGUACACACACAUACAUGAUAGUAGAUAAAUUGGCAAUUAUGAACGCAGGGAAAACUCUGGGAAAAUACUUUAAAUCAGUGUAUUUUAGAUCACAUAUAUGCCUCGCGUGGAAAUUAACAUGCAUGUGCUACAACUCUAUUAUUUUUAUUCAUAGGUUCUUCUUGUAUGCAAUUGUAAAUAAACCUAUUAAAUUAGUUUAAUUGAUUAACACAAAAAUAUUAAGUUUUGGGUUCCUGCUAACAAGUACGAAUCAUGUAACAGUAAAAGGUACCCAAAAUAUUCAACAUAAACACUAUUGUAAGUAACAUUAUCAGUUGACCCCAUACAAAGGCUUGUAUCAUUUGAUACUUGAUAAUUAACAAAAUUGUACCACUUGUGCAUUUAUAAUAAGCUCGAGAGAGUAAAAUAGUGACACAAAACGCAUUAAACUUACAUUUAAAUGUGUCUGUGUAUUAUGGAGGGGUUCUGUAUAUUUGUUAAAUCAUUCCAUUGUUUAGUUUGUUGGCAAUGACUGGCUUUUCUUGUUAUACGAUAUGACUAUAUGGUCUGUGUAUUUAUAAUAAUCCAGUGUGGUCAUAAUUCCCUUUUCUACAGAAUGGAACCUCUUCCACAAAGAGCUUUUGUUCAGGUAUGUUGACCUCUCUCCUCAAAAUGUAAUUUAUCUGUAUAUACACAUCUAAACAUGUUUUGAUACCACUGCUCUAAUAAAUUUCUAUUUUGCUAAAUUCCCUCUUACAGGAAUGCAUUAGCAGGUGGCUUUUAUGCAGGGUCAGGGAUCGGCUUUCUGCAGUAGUCACAAGGGAGCCAAUUGAUUUUGAUUACCUGCACAUGGUUAUCUCUCAGGAAUUGCAGUUUCUUCGAGCAGGGGCAGCCUAUAUGGAUAUUCCUCAGUGUGUAGUAGAUGGUUUACAAAAUCUAAGUGAAGUGAUCAAGUCUCACAUUUCAAACAGCACUGUUGCUCCAUUACUUGACAGUGUAGCUGUAGUUGAAUGGAAUGGUACUGUGGGUCGACCAAAAUUUAGCAUUAAUACCCAAGUCCUUGAAAAUCUUCUAAGCAUGAACCUACCAAUGACCACUCUGGCUACUGCCCAUGGCAUUUCAAGAUCCACACUUUACAGGAGGAUCAGGGAGCAUAAUCUCUCAGUCAGAAACACCUACUCUGAUAUAUCAGACAUUGUACUUGAUCAAAAGGUGAGAUCUAUCAAAGCCAAAAUGCCUGAUGCAGGAUAUCGGCUUGUAAAAGGGUCUACUGGCUAUGGGAUAUCGUGUCACAUGGAGUAGACUGAAGCUGUCCAUGCAGCGUGUCGAUGCCACUGGCAUUAUUUCAAGAAUGGUCCAGUUGACAUGCAUUGCCAGACGGACAUACUCUGUUCCAGCUCCAUUGUCUCUUGUCCACAUUGACACCAAUCACAUGUUGAUCAGGUAUUGUUUUAAAAUGAAUUACCAUACACAUUUAUUUUAAUCAAGGAUUUUAUAUCACUGUUAUAAUGUCAAAUCUUCUGAAAAUUUGAAGGUACAACAUAGUGAUUGUUGGGGGUAUUGAUGGCUUUUCCAGGAAGAUUUUCUACCUUAAUGCAGCUUGGAAUAACAAAGCAGAGACUGCUCUAGGUUUUUCAUGGAUGGUGUGCAUGGAUGGCCAUCAAGGCAAGGACCUUCUCUUUCAUACCAGGCGUAAAUAGUUUAGCUGUCCAACCCGUGUCACACUACUCUGUUUGUCUCAUUUACAGUCCGAGCUGAUCAAGGGGUGGAAAAUGUGGACAUUGCGAGAUGCAUGUUUACUGUGAGAGGAACCGGUCGUGGCAGCUUUAUUGCUGGCAAAAGUGUCCACAACCAGAGAGUGGAAUGCCUUUGGAGAGAUGUUUGGAAUGCUGUAACAUCUCAGUACUACAACUUGCUUCACAUCUUAGAGGAAGAUGGCUUCAUUGACCUUUCAAAUGCGGUUCACCUCUUCUGUGUGGGGUACGUCUUCAUUCCCUGUCUACAACAAGAUCUGCAAAAUUUUGUGGAGACCUGGAAUUACCACCCCUUAAGCACAGAGGGAAACUUGUCCCCUAAUCAGCUUUGGAGGAUUGGAACGCUACAAGUACCUGUGCCAGAGCCAGAUCUGCAGGAGAUCCUGCAAGCAGAACACUUGCAUGAUGAGGAACCUGACAGUGCUGAUCCAGAGCAUGGGGUCACUGUAGCAGAGAUGCCAUGCCCCUUGUCAGCUGAAGGUCUUGCUGCAGUGCAGCAAGUAAACCCCACCGUCGAUUCCUCUUCUUUUGGACGGGACAUCUAUAUGCAUGUCCUUCAACUAGCCUCAUUUUUUGGAUGAAGUUUGAUUGAUAUACUUGAUGCACAUCUCAUGUGCUUAUUCUAAAACAAGUAUGCACUUUUAACUAAUCACAAAUAAAGCACAGUAAAUAGAUACCUAUGUGUUUAUUUUGCUCACUCACAUUAUAACAAGGUGGCAUAAAUAGCUGCAGUAUAAAAUGAUUCUGGAACAUUUUGUUUGUUUGUUUCACUAAAGAAUAGAAAACAUAAAGAAUAAGCACAAGUGAAACACAUAACACAGAACCAUGCUCUUGCCAACAACUAUUUAACACAUUUAUCACACUCUAUCAAAUCCUGCACCAUACUUAAUGGCAGUUUGCAGGAGUGUUUUAAAGGAUUCAUAAUCUUUAAUGUGGGCUACUGGGAAUGUGAUGGUGUCUGUGCAAGCACUGACACUUGGGUAACAUACAGUGUGGUUAGGCAUGGCGUUCAGACACCAAUGAUCAAAUUUCACUGUGAGUUUGAAUGUUUGCCGAUCUUCCAAAAGCAGAUGUCUGUGAGCUUGACCAGUCAUCCACUGCAUGACUGAGGAUACAGUCAAAGCCUCUCCUGCAGUGUCGCCAUCAGUUUGUGCAUCUUGAAGAGAAAUACAAAGUGUAGACCAGAAUAAAUCUCUCCAGUCAUUUUAUAUGCAAACAGUUAAAUAUGAUGCUCAUUAAUGGUAUAGAAUUUGGGUGGAAAUCUAAACUUUCAAUCACAAAUAAUUAUUUUAAAUGAAUGGUUGGACAUACCGUCAAGUUCUAGGAGGAAAUCUUGGAAGUGCUCCAAGAUUUUUGAUUCCUUCACUUGCUUACUUGAACCACUUACACUCAACUCCGGGGCCAGAUGGGACAUGAUGUAAUGUGAGUCCACCUACAUUUCAAACAUAGUGAUACACAAUGAGAUUUCUCAAAACUUAACUAGUUAAGAAGCAGAAUGGAAGUUCUGGAAAUACUAUGUUGUACAACUAGUACAACACUCAAAGCAAUACUCGUGCAUACUGAGUCGUCGUCUCUGAAGAUGAAGAGACUGCAACACUCUUCUGGCUUUGUCUGCAUCACUUUGAUGAGGUCAUAUACUUUCAGGCCCUCACGCAGUUGCUGAAGCAUGGGCAUGCAUUUAGUCUUCACAUGAAGUCGAAUCGCCCUGAAUACAGAAAAAAUGAUUUAAAGGAAAGGAAAUAAUCUCCAAGUCAAGCUGUCCAGGUGUAGUAGUUAAGACUUUAGGGCAGCGGGCUCAGGAAAAUGGCCUUGAACAAGGCUUUGCUACUACAUGUAGACAACGAUAUACAUUUCCUUUUAACCCUACAUGGACAUGUCAAUAAAAUAAAUUUUGAGCAUUUUAAUUGGAGUGCCUUGGCCUCUAGCUCAUUUCUCUUUACUCAAAAUAAAUGUUUCACAUUCACAGUAAAUUCCCCAGUGUCAAAUAUGCAUUGUCAAAGUAUAUGGACUCUUUCAGAGUUAUUACAACAACGGCAAGAGUAAUUACUACCAAUUUAUCGGCCAGUGUUAGUGAAAAUAAUCAGAGUUAAACUUUUCAGUGUAUAAUAUACAGUGUCAAAGUUCAUUGACUAUUUUAGAGUUACAAACCUUCCCUUUGAGUGCAUGGGCCCUCCUACAAUGAUUCACUUUAAAGCCAAUUAGUUUAAAUUAAUAGUUUAUUUUCUGUCUGUUAAACUGAAUAAGCACUUUUCAAAGUAACGUGAGCGUUAUAUUGCUGUCUAAUUACAUUCAGUCAUUUUAAUGUGUGUUUGACAAAAGCUAGUUAGUGUUAAAUUUAACUUCAGUGUUGUCUCAGAAUGAAUUGUGUUGUAGGUCAUAAUGUGAUUUCACUUUUGCUGUUUUUACAGAUACCAUCAUGUGAUUAAAAUAAAAAUCGUCGUUUCACAGUUGGAAAAAUCUGCGUUGGCCAAGAAACCUGGUGGAGACCAUAUUGUCAAGGAACACAACCGGACGAAAGGUGACUGAAGCUCUGAGGUAAUUUAGAUAUCUCUUCUUCAAGCACAUCUGUUCUUCUACGCUUGUGGGAAAGAUAUAUAUAUUUAUUUUAGGGCUGUACUCAACUCAGAACUGUGUCUGUUAAAUUGGAUGUGGCUGUUCAAUACGAAGAAUUGUUUGUUUGUACAAUUUCUGCCAGCAAGACUCGAGUCAUUUGUAUUUUCCUAUGAUUUUUCUGCAUUUACUGUGGUUAAAAUAGAGUUAUUGUUCUUCAACUUAGAGACAACUUUCUAUCAUCUGCCAAGAUACUAAUAAAUUCCAACCAAGACCUUUACAAUAGAGCCAUGAGGGCUGUCACUUUAAAAUAUUGUAUCUGUAACUAUAUGUUUUAAUACCAAAUUUGAGUGCAGUUAGAUUUACACCAUGAGCAGAUAAAUUGAAAUAAAGGUAGAAAUCUGUGAAUCUCUCCUUUUGAAAAUGUAAUUCAAACACCUGCUGGUAUAGAAGACUAUCUGUGGCAAAUCAAAAAUCCAAUAUUAAAUCUAACUGCAGUCAAAUUUGAUAUAACAUAUAGUUACAGAAUUAGUAUUUCAAAUAAAAAAUUACAACCCUAUGAUUUUAGUUUUUCUCAGUUUUCCCAGCAACAGUACAAUGUCUGAAGGCAGCAGAUGAUCAGAAUAUUUAAAGCCAAAAUAACAUCCCAACUCUUUCAGUGGCCAAUUAGAUUUUUGUUUGAAUUGCUUGGUAGAUUGCAGAUGAUAGCAAAGUUUGUUCUAAGGUGAAAAGGACUUGAAUUGUACUCGGAUGUGUGUAUCCUCUAAAUGCACUGUAAACACAGUUUUCAGUGUUUACAGACAUUGUUAAGAUUGUACUAUUCUAAAUAUACCAUGUCUUUUAAGAACAAUGUCUUUUUUCCAUCUUUGAAACUGAAAGUGAUGUUUAAUUGUUGCACAAUGUAGCACAAAUGGGAGUUACACGUGCAUCUCUAAACUGAUAAUGAAAAAUUGUAUGCAAACUAAAUGUUUUUUUAUUUUUAAUAAGUUGUUAUUAAGAUAUGGAUAUAAUGGUGUUUGUUGUUUUUUCCCCUGCAAACAUUUUUUGUUUUAUUGUUUGAAGUGUUAGCUGACAUGGUGAAGUAGAAAAUGCAAAACUCUUAAAAGUGUUCUUUUGAAGAGUUAAAAAGGAGUAAAUUGAAAAUAAGGUGUUGGGUAAGAAUUACACUAAGGGAGUAAAUAUGUUUUAACACUGGCAGGAGUCAGUUGAAAAGCAACACUGUAUUUGGAGUAAUUUCUUAAUCAACACUUAGUGUCAAGUAGGUCCAACACUCAUGAAGGGUAACUUAAUUAUAGUUAAUUUUGAUUAACACUCAAAAAGUCAGAGUGUCAAAUUUAAAUAACACUACGAGUGUUAUUUACAUCAUAGUGUCAAAUUUGAGUAAAACUUCUCAGUGUAGUGUAGUGUAAAAUAUGAACUCUAACCAGAGUUAAAUUGACUCUCAAAAUGUAACACAGUAUCCAGUGUAGCUUUAACACUCUGUAGAUAGGCACCAUAUGUUCACUGAAUCAGUGUUAAAAUUGACUCUUUAAGUGUUGCAUUGACACUGUCGAUUUUACUGAAGCCAAAGAGCACCCUAGAAACAAUAACCGAUUAUCAUUAUCCUUAAAUUUCUCAAAGAAAAAAUAAACCACACAAGGCCUAUGAUUAUCUGAGGCCACACUACAAUGUGUUACAUCAGCAGUAAUAUUUGAUAUUGUGUGAAUACCUUAAUAUGUUUUCUUUAUGCUCCAUGUCAACUUUGCCUGUGUAGCCACAAUCCAGAAUGGCUUGGAUGUGAGGAGUCAUGUCAGAAGCAUCUUCAAUCUUAAAUAAUCAUACCAAAAAUAUUAAAUUGUACUUUAAUGCUUUGCAUUCACAACACAUUAUACAAUUUCCCAGGAUACCACAGUCCAUGGUUUACAGCUGAAUAGACCAACAUGAAAUUGUUGCAUCAUUUGUCCUGUAAAGUGCCUUAAUAAGGUUGAGAAAAUCCAAAAAGGAGUGCAAAGGGUGUACACUAUAAAAAACACAUGAAUGAACUAAAGUUAAGCUGCUAAAAGAAAAAAAAUACAAGCGAUGAGAAUUUUGUUACUCUGAUAUGGGCAGGAAGUAAAAAAGGUUCUCUAUACAAUACAUUAAAGUAGCAGCAAAUCACCGUGUGCCUUGCUUUUUCCACAUAGCCAGAGAAGCUAUAAAUGCUUUUUGUGCAUGGCAGUGCAUAUAAGCGAGCCCCACGGCCGCCGCUCUGCACUGCUCUGCACUGCUCUCAUACGGCAGUUACAGCUGAUAACGACGGCGUUGGCGCGGAGGGGUAGCGCCCACCCUCCAGUUCCCCCUCAGGUAAACACUGUUAGCUCCAUCAGCGCUUUCGCCGUAGUUUGAACUGAAAGCUCUGUUAGCGUCGUUGGCGCCGUUAGCUGCUAGCAGCCAGCUCAGCCGUCGCCAUGUUGAGAGCCUUAUUUGAUGAGUUGGGAGUGUUAACGUGUUGUCAGCGAACAUUUUGCUGAUACGUUUAGUGUCGGCCUUUCUGCGAUUUGGCAAAUACAUUACCCAAAGUUAAUGUCAUUCACCUGCAUGUGGACGGAAUUUCUGGGGUUUGGAGGAAGAUCAUGGGAUGUAAUUGAAAGGUCCAGAAAAAGCUAUUAGUGGACCUUUUCUUUAUCAAACACAAAUCCACGUUUUUUAUUAAAAUAAAACCUAAUCCCAAUAAAGAUUCAGGCACGGUAUAUUGUAGAACAAUGUAUUUAUUGAUAUACUGGCGUUGCAUAUUGAGCUAAAGCUCUGAGACUGAUCUGACAUCAGCCAUCUGUCACCUGAUGGAAUAAUUGCUCUUAUGACACCAGCCUGUGCUUGUUUACAACCUCCACUGUGAAUGACCUUUUGCUCUCUCAUAAAUACUUUGAUAAUAAUACCGUGCAGGCACAACAGCUAAGUUACCAGCGAUUCAUAUUGAAAGCUAAAUGAAACCUCCGAGGUCAGGUGGUGUCUGCGCAGUGGGAGGUGUGAAUGGUUAUUAAUGUGAUAACCAUGAGCACAUGGCUCACUGAUGAGCUGAACAGGUUCACAGUAACAGUCUGGCUGACAGUCACGAGGUGGCAUCAUACUCGUUUCCUAUGGUAAAAAGUGCAGCAUGUGUGUGUGUGUGGCAGCUUAUAUAUACUGGUUUGGCAAGGACGUAAUGGAUUACAACGGCCCAUUGCUGUUACCAUGGCAAUAAUUGCCAACAGUAGAGGCGCGCACCUGGCACUUUCAGGUUAAUGGCACAUCUGUACAGAUGUUUGUUCAGCUCAGUCCUCAGAUCUCACUUGUGUUUUUUGAUCUAUGCUGAAGUCCUGCAUCUGGGCUUCGUGCUCAGUUAGUCUCCAUGGAAAAUCUACGAGGAGACUCAGCGGAUGAGUGAAGGUGGACCGACAGAAGCAGAGACGGGUCGUUGAUGUUCAUGAUCAGUGCUCGAGAUCUAUUCUUUAUGUAAAGAGCGGAGGUAGGCACCGUGACGUCACCCUUUGGUUUGUGGACUAGUUUUGAAGCCACAAGUUCCUGUCACACAUGACAGCAACACCUACGGCUCUGCACUUAGGAUUUGUUAGCAACAAAAAUAAAGAAUAACACCAUCAUUUAACCUUGUCUCUGAAUAAUGUGUAAGUGCAGAUUAGCUGUAGUGACAUGACUUAUAUUACCCUGUACAUAGUAGAUCAAAUACAGAACUCGCUGCAGUGAUGAUGUACCUGCUAAUUAUCCCAAUAUUGCAAGAAAGCAACCUCUUUUGUUUUCUGCCUUACGAAACAUUUUUGUUACGCAUUUAUUAUGUUUGAAUGGAUUUACACACACGAUGAGUCGCUUAGCUCCAGCAGCAUGGGGGUACUCAGGUAUGUUAGUGCUUGGCUGUGUGUCAGGAUAAGGUGUAGCCAAAUGAUUUCAGUAGUUCCUGGCUGUCACUGCCACGACGGAUCCCAGAUGUUGAUGCUGUUCCAAGCCACCUGCUCAUACCGCCCUCACCAGCCCACCUGAUGUGGUUGCAUGAGGUACUUUAUCCAGAGUCAAGCUACUCAUGCAUGAGCGGAAGCGUUUAUACUCUGUGCGCUGUUUCGUUGCAUUAUUCUCCGAAACGCCAGAAGGCAUACAAACUAAAUUAAUUGUAAAAAAAAAUGGACAAGUGUAACUCAAAUAUGCCAUAGACUGUAAUAACCUGCAAAAUGCAUGAAACCGACCUCCACAAUGGCGAAAGAGAGUGUAAUGAUCGGUAACCUCUGUCAAAAAAAAAGAGGA
This is a long non-coding RNA of Anarrhichthys ocellatus (wolf-eel), 9022 nucleotides long. RefSeq lists it as uncharacterized. The transcript is spliced from 4 exons. Lineage: Eukaryota; Metazoa; Chordata; Actinopteri; Perciformes; Anarhichadidae. The record is from RefSeq and is a predicted model, not a curated record.